Molecule: unclassified non-coding RNA, 1777 nt
Filed under: Ceratitis capitata (Mediterranean fruit fly)
Lineage: Eukaryota; Metazoa; Arthropoda; Insecta; Diptera; Tephritidae
Description: aN1-type zinc finger protein 6, transcript variant X3
Source: RNAcentral
UUUAAAAAGUAAUUUUUCGGUUUUCAAAAUUCACAAAAAAAAAUUCUUUAACUUCCAAAAUUCACAAUUAACUAUAAAAACCCAGCAAAAAUUCAGAAUCUGAUAUCCUUUUACGUUUUAAGUUGACUGAAGUGUUAACCCUGGUGUAAAGUAUGAAAAUAUGCAAUAAAUAGAAAUUGCUUAAUUCAAAAGCCUUUACCGAAACAAAUUCGACAUCCACUGCUCAUCGGCGAACUCGUUUUCCAUUCAAAAAUUUGUAGUAAAAAUUUGGUAAAGAGAAAAAAAACAAAUCUAAAAAUAUGUCCGCUGCUAAAAUGAAGACCGUACCACCCAGUACUGCCACUACAGACGCACAAGAGCGUCUACGUAAGCAGCAGCAGCAGCAACAACAGAAUGAUAAAAUUGCUAAAAAGUAUAUGUUGUCAACAACGGUCGAUUCUGAUCAACCAACAACAGCCACAACAACGGCAGCGGCCGCAACCGCAACAGUUUCAGCGGCUAGCACUGCAGCCGCACGUCGAAAUCACACUAGAAAAUUACGCUCGGCCAGCGGUGAUGAUAUAAAACGACCCGUCGACAAGCGUUCAACAACAACAACUUCAACGAAACGCAAACGUCAUGUAGACUUUAUGCCACCGAAUAAAUCAAAAACACGUCUAACUACCGCAAAAACCAAAACACAGCCAGCACCUAGCACCACAAAUUCUACUGAUUCACCAGCCACCACUGUGGUCAAAUCCAAGUCCAUACUCAAAGUUAAGCAAAUAACUGUGGUCAAACGUAAAACUGGCACAAAUAAAGUGACUAAAAAACUGAAAAAAGCGCCACAGGGCGCACAAGCUGAAAUGGAGGCGGCUGAGUUGUCUAAGUUGGAGCAACAGUUUGCAAGAAAUCCGCCGGUUGUAACAAAUGCCGAGGAAACGCCAACAAAUGACAAUGCGUCAGCCGCAAAUACGGCAGUGACAAUAAAUUCCCACGAUAAUGGUCAUCAACUCACUAGUUUUAACAAUCGACGCUUACACAGGCGUAAGCAUUUCAUGCCCGCCGGCGCCGGCAUUGUCGAGUCGGGUUCUGUUAAUGUGCCACCCGUGCGUCGCUUUAGUCCUGUGCGCGACAAAGCCGCACUCUUUGCCAAAGAAAGUGCGAAAGUUUAUAAUAGUGUUGACUCCUUUAAUAUACCCACCAAAAGCAAUAACAUAACUGUGGCUAUGGUCAAAGAGGUGCAUACAAAUAAACCAAUAAAUAAAUCAAACAACGAAGAAGCACCACCGCCAAAUCAAAAUGAAACACCAAAUAAUGCGGUUGCCUCGAAUUUAGUCGCAUCUCAGGCUAAUGUCGCUGAUGGUAGUCCUGUUGCGGGUGGUGGCCCAGUGCAUACACCACAAGAGUUACAAAAUGCAAUAAUUGCACCAGUGGUAGUGCCAAUUGCCGAACCCACUGCUUCCAUUACGGCCUCAACUAAAAAUAAACGAAGAAAGCGCAGCUAAAACUAGCACCGAAGCUGCUGCCGCUGCUGGUCCAUCAACAUCAACCUCCCAAACAGCCGAAGAAGACAAAGACAAGGAGGAAGAUAAAGAUGCAAAAAAGAAAAAGAAUCGUUGCGCUGAGUGCCGUAAGAAAGUUGGUCUUACAGGCUUUCAAUGCCGAUGUGGUGGACUCUACUGCGCUGUACACAGAUACAGUGAUAAACACGACUGCACAUUUAACUAUCGGGAACAUGGGGCCCAAGAGAUUCGACGCAAUAAUCCUGUGGUAGUUGGCGAAAAAAUACAAAAAA